This 1463-nucleotide ribosomal RNA is filed under the name metagenome. Its description in RNAcentral is "bacterial SSU rRNA". It matches the Rfam family "Archaeal small subunit ribosomal RNA". The record is from RNAcentral.
UCCGGUUGAUCCUGCCGGACCCUACUGCUACCAGGAUGAGACUAAGCCAUGCGAGUCGUGCGCCUCCUAGCUAUGUUGGAGGCGCGGCGUACGGCUCAGUAACACGUAGUCAACCUGCCCUUGGGACGAGAACAACCUCGGGAAACUGAGGCUAAUACUCGAUAUGUGGAAGCGCCUGGAAUGGUCUUUCGCUGAAAAGGCGCAUGAUACAUGCAUUAUGCGUUGCCCAAGGAUGGGACUGCGGCCGAUCAGGUAGUUGGUAAGGUAACGGCUUACCAAGCCUAUAACCGGUACGGGCCCUGAGAGGGGAAGCCCGGAGAUGGUAACUGAGACAAGGUCCUAGGUCCUACGGGGCGCAGCAGGCGCGAAAACUUCGCAAUGCGCGAAAGCGCGACGAGGUUAUCCUGAGUGCCGUCUGAAAGGAUGGCUUUUCAUCGACGUAAACAGUCGGUGGAAUAAGGGGAGGGCAAGACUGGUGUCAGCCGCCGCGGUAAUACCAGCCCCCCGAGUGGUAGGGACAAUUAUUUGGCCUAAAGCGUUCGUAGCCUGCUCGGUAGGUCCUCCGUCAAAUCUGACGAUCCCAUCGUCAGACUGCGGGGGAUACCGCCGGGCUAGGAGGCGGGAGAGGUCGACGGUAGUCCAGGGGUAGGGGUGGAAUCCUAUAAUCCUUGGAGGACCACCAGUGGCGAAGGCGGUCGACCAGAACGCGCUCGACGGUGAGGGACGAAAGCUGGGGGAGCAAACCGGAUUAGAUACCCGGGUAGUCCCAGCUGUAAACGAUGCGAGCUAGGUGUUGGAGCGGCUACGGGCCGCUCCAGUGCCUCAGGGAAGCCCUUAAGCUCGCCGCCUGGGGAGUACGGUCGCAAGGCUGAAACUUAAAGGAAUUGGCGGGGGAGCACCACAAGGCGUGAAGGCUGCGGUUUAAUUGGAGUCAACGCCGGAAACAUUACCGGGGCCGACAGCAGGAUGAAGGUCAGAUUGAAGGUCUUACUAGACAAGCUGAGCGGAGGCGCAUGGCCGUCGCCAGUUCGUGCUGUGAAGUGUCCUGUUAAGUCAGGCAACGAUCGAGACCCUCACUGCUAGUUACCCGCGGCUCCCAUCGGGAAUCGGGCACACUAGCGGAACCGCCGCCGACAGGGCUGAGGAAGGCGAGGGCAACGGCAGGUCAGCAUGCCCCUAAUGCCCCGGGCCACACGCGGCCUGCAAUGGUAGGGACAAAGGGUUUCGACCUCGAAAGAGGAAGGCAAUCCCCAAACCCUAUCGUAGUCGGGAUCGAGGGCUGGAACCCGCCCUCGUGAACAUGGAAUGCCUAGUAAUCGCGUGUCAUCAUCGCGCGGUGAAUACGUCCCCGCUCCUUGCACACACCGCCCGUCGCUCCAUCCAAGUCGGGUCGAGGUGAGGCGCAGUCUUGUUGGCUGCGUCGAGCCUGGGCUCGGCGAGGGGGGAGAAGUCGUAACAAGGUG